UACGGAGGGGGCUAGCGUUGUUCGGAAUUACUGGGCGUAAAGCGCACGUAGGCGGAUUGGAAAGUUGGGGGUGAAAUCCCGGGGCUCAACCCCGGAACUGCCUUCAAAACUCCCAGUCUGGAGGUCGAGAGAGGUGAGUGGAAUUCCGAGUGUAGAGGUGAAAUUCGUAGAUAUUCGGAGGAACACCAGUGGCGAAGGCGGCUCACUGGCUCGAUACUGACGCUGAGGAGCGAAAGCGUGGGGAGCAAACAGG
Molecule: ribosomal RNA, 253 nt
Filed under: uncultured bacterium
Lineage: Bacteria
Description: partial 16S ribosomal RNA
Rfam family: Bacterial small subunit ribosomal RNA
Source: RNAcentral